RNAcentral lists this long non-coding RNA (2053 nucleotides) under Nicotiana benthamiana. RNAcentral describes it as "long non-coding RNA (NBEN_LNC042090)". Lineage: Eukaryota; Viridiplantae; Streptophyta; Magnoliopsida; Solanales; Solanaceae. The record is from RNAcentral.
UCACAACCGCCUCUCACCUCUCUGCCUUAAGCCACUUCCUACCGCCCGCCGGAAAUCGCCUACGGCGGCAGCCGGCAUUCAAACACCCUCAAAUUUACACCACAGCCUUUCCUUCACCUCCUCAUCUCAAAUCCACACCCAAUUUCCCUCAAAACAUACUCAAACUCAUCGAAUCUUGAUUCUAAUACAUGAACCCUAGCGCCGCCAUAGUUUCUCCUGUGGCGGCACAAUCACCUAACCACCCCAAAACCACAUCCUAUAACCACUUCACUCCCGUUAUCCUAAAUCAACUCAGUUUCUCCCAAAUACCUCUAAAAUUGUGCAAAUUUUAGAUCUAGGGUUUUCGAAUCCCGGAAGUCCAAGUCCUAAAUGGGUCUCUGCUCGUCUUUCUCAAGUUCUAUUUGGCUUCGUCCCCUGAUAACGCUGUCUGUUUAUUCUUUCCAAGAAAAAAUGGGCGAUUUAUCUGGAACGGAGUCAAAGGUUCAAGUCCUAGAUUCUGUUCAACUAGGUGAGUUCUCCUUCAUUCAUUUUUUUUUAUUGAUUCAACUUCCUUCUCAUCCCCCCUUCUUCAGGUUAAAAUGCAUGUUCUUACUCUAGGUUCGAACUAAAUCUUAUUCAUGUUCUCCUAUUAAUUGAACCUUAUAAGUCUUGAUCCGUUUGUUUUGGAUUUUAAUAUAUGUGAUCAAUAAACUUAAUUAUCUCAUGUCAGUUUGUUUAAGUUUAAAUUUAUUUUAAUCAGUACUUAGUUUAAUUGCGAUGAGUUUUGUAAUGGAGUUUCUGUUUAAACAUUGGUCUACAUGAUCUUGGGAAUGUUUGAGUGUUUGAUUCAUCUUAAGCAUGUUUUCAAUUGUCGAAAGUUUCACAUUUUUUUAGUAUUUCAUCCUUUGAUCUAUUAGUAAUUUAAUUUCAGCUUAUUAAGUGUUACUUUACUAAUUGGACUUCAUGAAAAAAAAAUUGAUCAAAUUGUUUCUAUUCCUUCUUGCUUUCAUUAUAAUCCAGAAAAUUAGGUUUGAUUGUUUUUGGGCUCGAGGUGUAUACCUAUAAGUACAGUCUUGGGCUGGUUGCCUUAGGGAUUCUACCAAGGUUCAAUUUGACCAAUAGCCCAUUCAGUAUAAUGUAAAAUGCAGGGGUAAUUAAAGGUAGUUUAGGUAAUGGGCUGAGGGAAUCUAAGGGUAACUAGUUUAGAAGCUUCUAGUGGGGAAUUUUGAUUAAAUUUUCACACUAUAGCUUGACCAACAAGUUAGAAAAUGGACGACUGAGUAGCAAAAGAAAAAUUCAAGAAGGAUUAAAUUGAAAAACAGAACCCUUUAAGGUUGCCCUAUCAACUUGCCUAUAAAGGCGUUGUUACUUGAGACUCAAUUAAGAUAUGGAGGGCUAAAAAACUUAAGAAAAUUGCUGAAAACAUCUGUAGAAAACAAGGUUCCAUUGAUUUUUGGGUUGAUUUUUCGAAGUUCCCAACUUCUAAAGCCAUUCCUGAGCCAUUUUGGUUUAAAAUAAGUUGAAUUCUGGGUAUUUUUAGAGCUGGUUCAAGUUUAAUAUUGGGAACAUUGUUGGUUGAGCUGCUACUUGUUGCUGACACUCUAUUCCUUUCUCUUACUUUGCUCUCCAGGUACAUGGUCCUGAAACUCAUGUAAUUUGAUGUUCCAAUUGAGAAAUAAAAGUAGAGAUGGGAAUUCUGAAUCAUGGCAUAAGAUCUUUUGGCUCUUUUAUGUAGUUUUAUCUGCUUUUCUUCUUCUUUGUAUGCUAAGAUGCCAUCACUGCUAUUCCUUGAAGCAUGGCAUCUGUUCUUUGGCUCUUUAAUUUAGUUUUAUCUGUUUUUCUUUUUCUUUAUUUUCUAAAAUGUCAUCAUUGUUAUUCUAGGAGGUUUCAGACAUUGUAAACUAGUUUAUUUCCAUUCCAUUACAGUUGCUAUUUGAUGUGUAUGUGUCAAGGCUGUUUUGUAAUACUAGUUGGACUAUCGACUCUUGAUUAAUAGGUUUUCGUUAGGAAGUUUAUAUAUUUGUAGUUGCAAGUUUCAUAUUGAUCAAUUCUGAGUCCUGCACUUUGUUUUGUU